RNAcentral lists this ribosomal RNA (471 nucleotides) under uncultured bacterium. Its description in RNAcentral is "bacterial SSU rRNA". It matches the Rfam family "Bacterial small subunit ribosomal RNA", at positions 29 to 524 of the family's 1533-position model. The record is from RNAcentral.
AACGAACGCUGGCGGCAGGCCUAACACAUGCAAGUCGAACGCUCCGCAAGGGGGAGUGGCGCACGGGUGAGUAACACGUGGGAACCUACCUUCUGGUACGGAACAACCAAGGGAAACUUUGGCUAAGACCGUAUACGACCUCCGGGUGAAAGAUUGAUCGCCGGAAGAGGGGCCCGCGUCCGAUUAGGUAGUUGGUGAGGUAACGGCUCACCAAGCCUUCGAUCGGUAGCUGGUCUGAGAGGAUGACCAGCCACACUGGGACUGAGACACGGACCAGACUCCUACGGGAGGCAGCAGUAAGGAAUAUUGGACAAUGGCCGCAAGGCUGAUCCAGCCAUGCCGCGUGCAGGAUGAAAGUGCUCAGCACUGUAAACUGCUUUUGUUUGGGAAAAACCCCUGCAUUCUUGCGGGGCUGAUGGUACCAAAAGAAUAAGGGACGGCUAACUUCGUGCCAGCAGCAGCCGCUGUAAC